This 240-nucleotide non-coding RNA is filed under the name Paenibacillus sp. Its description in RNAcentral is "T-box sequence". It matches the Rfam family "T-box leader". From Rfam's summary of the family: Uncharged tRNA acts as the effector for transcription antitermination of genes in the T-box leader family. T-boxes are found upstream of many aminoacyl-tRNA synthetase genes and some amino acid biosynthetic genes usually in Gram-positive bacteria. Lineage: Bacteria; Bacillati; Bacillota; Bacilli; Caryophanales; Paenibacillaceae. The record is from RNAcentral.
UCAAACGCUUUGACGAGAAGAGUAAACAGGUUAGUUCUCCGCAGAGAGCUCCGGCAGCUGAAAAGGAGCGUGGACGGCCCGUUGAACCAAGACUCCGAGCCGCACAUCGGAUUCAUUAGAAAAUGAUGUGACAGACGCCCCUGUUAUCGGGCAUGAGUAAGGAAUAUAUCAUUACUCGCGAAGGUCAAUAUGGCGACAUAUUGAUAAAUACGGGGAGGCACCGCGAUAAUCGCCCCCGGG